Austrofundulus limnaeus is the source of this 1843-nucleotide long non-coding RNA. RefSeq lists it as uncharacterized. The transcript has 4 exons. NCBI's taxonomy places the organism in Eukaryota, Metazoa, Chordata, Actinopteri, Cyprinodontiformes, Rivulidae. The record is from RefSeq and is a predicted model, not a curated record.
AGUGCAGGUAGAGCAGGAAGCUCAUGUGUAGCAGCGCCAGCAUCCCACAGAGCAGCAGACGAGGAGUCUGACCCACGGUCCGAGACAGCAGAACUGCAACCUGUAGAGCAAGACAGGUGGAUGCAGACAGGUGAAUGCAGACAGGUGAAUGUAGACAGGUAGAUACAGACAGGUGACAGCAGUCAGGUGAAUGCAGACAGGUGGAUGCAGACAGGUGGAUGCAGACAGGUGGAUGCAGACAGGUGAAUGCAGACAGGUGGAUGCAGACAGGUGGAUGCAGACAGGUGGAUGCAGACAGGUGAAUGUAGACAGGUGAAUGCAGACAGGUGACCGCAGACAGGUGAAUGCAGACAGGUGAUUGCAGACAGGUGGAUGCAGACAGGUGAAUGUAGACAGGUGAAUGCAGACAGGUGAUUGCAGACAGGUGGAUGCAGACAGGUGAAUGUAGACAGGUGAAUGCAGACAGGUGAAUGUAGACAGGUAGAUGCAGACAGGUGAAUGUAGACAGGUGAAUGUAGACAGGUGAAUGUAGACAGGUGACAGCAGACAGGUGAAUGCAGACAGGUGAAUGCAGACAGGUAGAUGCAGACAGGUGAAUGCAGACAGGUGAAUGCAGACAGGUGAAUGCAGAUAGGUGACCGCAGACAGGUGGAUGCAGACAGGUGACCGCAGACAGGUGGAUGCAGACAGGUGAAUGCAGACAUGUGAAUGUAGACAGGUGAAUGUAGACAGGUGAAUGCAGACAGGUGAAUGUAGACAGGUGGAUGCAGACAGGUGAAUGUAAACAGGUGAAUGCAGACAGGUGAAUGUAAACAGGUGAAUGCAGACAGGUGAAUGUAGACAGGUGACAGCAGACAGGUGAAUGCAGACAGGUGAUUGCAGACAGGUGAAAGCAGACAGGUGAAUGCAGACAGGUGACCGCAGACAGGUGAAUGCAGACAGGUGAAUGCAGACAGGUGAAAGCAGACAGGUGAAAGCAGACAGGUGACCGCAGACAGAUGAAUGCAGACAGGUGAUUGCAGACAGGUGGAUGCAGACAGGUGAUUGCAGACAGGUGGAUGCAGACAGGUGAAAGCAGACAGGUGAAUGUAGACAGGUGAAUGUAGACAGGUGACCGCAGACAGGUGAAUGUAGACAGGUGAAUGCAGACAGGUGAAUGCAGACAGGUGAAUGCAGACAGGUGAAUGCAGACAGGUGAAAGCAGACAGGUGAAUGUAGACAGGUGGAUGCAGACAGGUGAAUGCAGACAGGUGAAUGUAGACAGGUGAAUGCAGACAGGUGAAUGCAGACAGGUGACAGCAGACAGGUGAAUGCAGACAGGUGACCGCAGACAGGUGAAUGUAGACAGGUGAAUGCAGACAGGUGACCGCAGACAGGUGAAUGUAGACAGGUAGAUGCAGACAGGUGAAUGUAGACAGGUAGAUGCAGACAGGUAGAUGCAGACAGGUAGAUGCAGACAGGUGAAUGUAGACAGGUGAAUACAGACAGAUGAAUGCAGACAGGUGAAUACAGACAGGUGAAUGUAGACAGGUGGAUGCAGACAGGUACAUGCAGACAGGUGAAUACAGACAGGUAGAUGCAGACAGGUGAAUACAGACAGGUGAAUACAGACAGGUGAAUACAGACAGGUAGAUGCAGACAGGUAGAUGCAGACAGGUAGAUGCAGACAGAUGAAUGUAGACAGGUGAAUGCAGACAGGUGAAUACAGACAGGUGAAUGCAGACAGGUGGAUGCAGACAGGUAGAUGCAGACAGGUGGAUGCAGACAGGUGAAUGCAGACAGGUGGAUGCAGACAGGUGGAUGCAGACAGGUAGAUGCAGACAGGUGGAUGCAGACAGGUGAA